Molecule: long non-coding RNA, 4988 nt
Organism: Cavia porcellus (domestic guinea pig)
Lineage: Eukaryota; Metazoa; Chordata; Mammalia; Rodentia; Caviidae
Exons: 2
Source: RefSeq, a predicted model, not a curated record
GUGACGGGAGGGUGGGGCGCAGCUCGUGAGCCGCUGGCGGCGCGAGUUUGAGCGCGGCGCGCGGCGGCUGGCCCUAGGCUUCUGUGGCCCGCGCCCUCCCGCCCCUGCCGGCUCCCGCCAACCUGCGGAGGCCUGAGCCCGCCCGGACCAGGAUCCACCCCUCAAAGGGGGGUCUGCGGGUCGGAAAGGGAAGGCACGCUGUUGUUUGUAAAUCGGGGGUGGGGUGCGGUGAGUAAAGGAGCCAAAGUACACUUCGGAGGUGAAUUGUAGACCGGGACCUCCGAUCCGUUUCCGCGGCCUGGGUUUGGGUCCUGGAACAGGGGAGAAGAGUGUCCGGGAAAAAGGCUGGCGUGAGCUGCGGGGCGUGCUAUCUGGGCGCCUCAUGAGCAGAGUCCUCGAAAAGGUAUCCGUUAGUUAACUCGGCGAGCGUAAGCAUUUUAAUUCUGCCUUCCUAGACUGGAAUUUGUUUCAACAACCAGCCCUUCCUAAAAGCUGAAACACUUAUCUGUUUACUGGUUUAACGGCGCGUAUCUUCACUUGGUGCCAGUGCUUGAAUACAAGGCCUCCGGCAUGCUUCGCCAAAGCUGUGCUGAGCUACAUCUCCAACUGUGUUUUGGCUUUUUCUCUUAAAAGGAAGGGAAGGAGGGAGAAAGAGGAAGAAAAAGUUUAAAAAUUUUUGAUAACAUUAAAAUUAUGGUUCAACACAUAAACAACUUAAUGUUGACUCAAACUUCUAGAAAAAGAAGAGCAGGCUAAAUGAAGAGCACAUACAAGGGAAGAAAUUGUAAAGAUCAGAGAAGAAAUUAACACACUGGAGAUUAAAAAAUACAAAGAAUCAAUGAAUUGAAGAGUUGGUUCUUUGAAAGAUUAAAUAAAAUUGACAAACCCUUAGACAACCUUAUCAAAAAAAGGAAAGAAAAGAGUCGAAUCUACACAAUAAAGAUUGAAGAGGGCAAAAUCACAACAGACCCUGCAAAAAUCCAGAAGAUCAUCUAUGCCUAUUUUGAAAUCUUGUAUUCUAACAAGAUGGAAAAUACAGAAAAAAUGGACAGAUUCCUAAAUACAUAUGAAAGCUGAAUCAAGAAGGUAUAAAAAUCUUAAAUAGCCCAAUAUCAAUGAAUGAAAUCAAAGAUAUAAUAAAAACUUACCAACAAUGAAAAGCUGAGGCCGUGAUGUAUUCACUGUCAAAUUGUACAAGAAAUUUAGAAAAGACCUAACACCACUACGUCUCAGAUUCUUUAAUGAAACAGAAAGGGAAGCAAUACAUCCAAAUUCAUUCCUAGAAGCAAGCAUUACUCUGAUACCAAAACCAGAGAAGAACCCAGCUAAGAAAGAGAAUCACAGGUCAUUCCCUAAUGAACAUUGAUGCAAAGCUCUUCAGUAAGAUAUUGGCAAACAGACUGCAGUAAAUUGUCAAGAAGAUUGUACACCAUGAUCUAGUGGGAUUCAUCCAGGGAAUUCAGGGAUGGUUCGACAUGCGUAAAUCCAUAAAUGUAAUACAGUAUAUCAACAGAGCCAAGGACAUAAAUCAUAUGAUCAUCUCAAUAGAUGCAGAAAAAGCUUUGGACAUGGUCCAGAACCCAUUCAUGAUUAAAAAAAAAAAGCUAUAGAACAUUGGAAUAGAUGGUCUUUAUCUCAAUGUGAUUAACUGUGACAAACUAACAGCUAACAUCAUACUAAAUGGACAAAAACUGAAAGCUUUCCCUCUAAAAUCAAGAAUAAGACAAGGAGGGGCUGGGGAUUUAGCUCAGCAGCAUAAGCACCUGCCUUGCAAGCAGGCGGUUGUGAGUUUGAUCCCUGGUACCAGAAAAAAGGGGAAAAAAAAAGAAGACAAGGAUGUCCACUGUCUCCACUCUUAUUCAACACAGUCCUAGAAACUUUAGCUGGAGCAAUUAGAUAAAAGAAAGAAAUAAAAGGAAUAAAAAUAGGAAAGGAAGAAGUUAAACUAUUGUUAUUUGCAAGAUAGCAUGUAAUUAGAAGACCCCAAAAACUCCAGUAAAAAACUUAUAGAUUUAAUAAGCAAAUUCAGUAUUAUAGCUGGAUACAAAGUCAAGACUCAAAAAAAUCAAUAGUCUUGUUGUACAUAACAAACUCAUGGUGAGAAAUCAGGGAAGCAACACCUUUCAACAAGAGCAUCCAAAAAAAAAAUGAAACAUCUAGGCAUCAAUCUAAUAAAGAAUAUAAAAUACUUCUACAUUGAAAACUACAGUACUCUGAAAAAGGAGGUUAAAGAGGAUAUUAGAAAAAGGAGAGAUAGCCCAUACUCUUGGUAGGAAAAAGCAAUUUAAUGAAAAUGGCCAUUCUUCCAAAACUGUUAUACAGAUUCAGUGCAUACUCAAACAAAAUUCCAAUGGUGUAUUUCAAGGAAUUAGAGAUAACAAGCCUAAAAUUCAUCUGGAACCAGAAGAGACCUAGAAUCACAAAGGAAAUCCUGGGCAAUAAAGAUAAGCCGGGGCAUCACAAUCCCUGAUUUGAAAUUAUACCACAAAGCUAUUGUGAUAAAAACAGCAUGGUACUGGCAAAAAAAACCCCACAAAAAACAGACCUGAAGAUCAAUGGAACAGAUUAGAAAAUGCAGAAACAGCUCUGGACACACUAAACCACCACCUUAUCUUUGGCAAAGGUACCAAACACAUUCACUAGAAGAAAGAUGGCCUCUUUAAUAAAUGGUGCUAGAAAAACUGGCUCUAACUUGAUCCCUAUCUUUCACCAUGUACUAAGCUCAAAUCAGACUGGAUCAAAGAUCCAAUAUUAAAACAAAUAUUAAAUCUGCUGGAAGGGGCUGGGGGUUUAGCUCAGCGGCAUAAGCGCCCGCCUUGAAAGCAGGAAGUCGUGAGUUCGAUCCCCGGUACCGACAAAAAGGAAAAAGACAAAAAAAAAAAAAAUCUGCUGGAAGAUAGAGUAGGUAAAACUCUUGAAGACAUUGGUGUAGGCAAAGACUUUGUGAAUAAAACCUACAUUGCACAGGAACUAUUCCAAAGAAUCAACUACUGGAUCAGGGCAUGGUGGCACAGGCCUGUAAUCCUAGCAGUUGGUAGGCUAAGGCAGGAGAUGGUUGCCAGUUCAAGAUCAGCCUGAGCUACAAAGUGACCUCAAAGCCAGUUGAAAAAAAUCAACAACUAACAACUGGGAUCUCACCCUACUGAAAAGUUUUCACACAGUAAGAGAAAUCACCAACAGAGUGAAGAGACCACCCAUAAUGUGGAAGAAAAUGUUUGCCAGCUGUGUCUCAGACAAAGAAUUACUGUUGAGAACAUAUAAAGAACUAAAAAAACAACAACAACAACAAAAAACCCACAAAAAACAGUCCCCCUAGAUUUAAAUACCCAAUCUGAAAAUGGGCAUCUGAGUAGAAUACACACUUCUGAGAUGAAGAAAUACAAAAAGCAAUAUGUGAAAAAACAUUGAACAUCACUAGUCAUUCAAGAGAUGUAAAUUAAAACAAACUGAGAUUCCACUUUGCCCCAGAAAGAAUGGCUACUAUCAUGAAAUCAAGCAGUGGGCUGGAGAUUUAGUUAAGUGGCUCAAGUACUUGCCUGGUUAAGUGCAAGGUUGUGAGUUCGGAUCCCCAGUACCAAAAGAACCAAACAAACAAAAACAAAAAGAGAAAUCAAGCAGUAACAGUGUUGGAGGGGCUGUGGGGAAAAAGGAACUCUUCUCCACUGUUGAUGGGAGUGUAGACUGUUGCAACCACUCUUGAAGUCAAUACAGAGAUUCCUCAAAAAACUAGGAGUAGAGGUCCCAUUUGACCUAGCUCUUCCCUAUUGGUUAUCUUCCCAGAAGAACUGAAAACAUCAUCACAGUGAUAUAUAGGCACCCGUGUUUACAGCAGCACGGUUUGUAACAGCCAGGUCUUGGAAACAACCUAAAUGCCCAUCUACUGAGAAAUGUAUAAAAAAUGUAUUUUUAUACAAUGGAGUACUACUCAGCCAUAAAGACGGAUAAACUUGAGACUUAUAGCUAAAUGAAUGCAACUCAAGAACAUACUCAUUAGUGAAAUAAGACGUGUAAACAUAUGUGAGAUAAAGUAUGUAUAUGUAUAUGUACAUAAAAAUAGUUAAGAUAAUUGUACUAUCGAUUUUUCUGAAUUCACAGAAGAGAAAGAUUUGUGCUGGUAUUGUUCAGACAAUUGAAUGCAGAUGUCUUGUGCUCUGAGUAAAUAAUUUUGGGAUGACAAUAUACAAUGUAUGUACCAUUGUAGCUUCCUGAUUGAUGUGUUUUAAAAUUUAGUUGUAAUGGUUUUUAAAUUUUUAUUUAUUUUGUCUUUUUGAGACAGGAUCUCACUAUGCAGUUCAGGCUAGCCUUGGCUCACUUUGUAGCCCAGGCUGGUCUCGAACUUGCAAUGAUCCUCCUACCUUAGCUUCCCAAAUGCUGGGAUUAUAGGAGCGUGCCACCAUGCCUGGCUUGUUAUAGUUUUUUCUUUUUUCUUUUUUUCUUUUUAUCCUUGAAAUAAAACAGAUGUGGAAAAUAAAAUAAAAUUAUUCUUCAAAGCCUUGUUUGUCGUAAGCGCCUUCCUCUGGCAUGAGCCAGGAGGAGACCCAGUCAGUGUCCCCUGUGAGCUUACCGGUGUGUGGGCUGGGAAUCAAACACACACACACACACACACACACACACACACACGCACACACAUUAGCAGCUGGGGACAGAGGUCGGAGCAUCUCUUGGGAGAAUGAUUGUAUGCAAUAAGCAAAUAUGGGGGACUUCCUUCUAUCUUCUGUUUGAAAGUAAAUGUUUUGUUUCAUUUUUAUCCUAUUCAAUAUUCUCUUUUGAUUAGUUUUAUAACAUUCUGUCUUUGGUUUGAUUUUGCUAUAUGUAAUUGGCUAGACAACUAUUUUGAAGAUAACAAAAUAUACUAUGGUACCUAUUACUGUUAUCCUGGUAACCUGCUCUGAAGUUCUGUAAUAAUUGUCUCUAUUGGAUUUGUUCUGUCUUGUUCAGUUGUAUUUCUACUACCUUCAAAAUAAAAAAAUAAAUAAAUAAAAAACAAA